This 22-nucleotide microRNA is filed under the name Murid betaherpesvirus 1 (Murine cytomegalovirus). Its description in RNAcentral is "mcmv-miR-m01-3-3p". Its record names the gene mcmv-miR-m01-3-3p. Lineage: Duplodnaviria; Heunggongvirae; Peploviricota; Herviviricetes; Herpesvirales; Orthoherpesviridae. The record is from miRBase by way of RNAcentral.
CGAGGAACGCUCGCUUCACGGC